GCCUUUUUAUGCAACUUUUACUUACCUUACACAUGCAAGUAUCUGCACCCCCGUGAGAACGCCCUCCACCCCUAAUUAGGACGAGGAGCCGGUAUCAGGCGCAACCCAUCGCCCACGACACCUAGCUACGCCACACCCCCAAGGGUAUUCAGCAGUGAUAAACAUUGUUUAUAAGCGACAGCUUGAACCAGUUAAAGUAAAUAGAGCCGGCAAAUCCGGUGCCAGCCGCCGCGGCUACACCGUUGGGCUCAAGUUGAUAAGUGCCGGCGUUAAGCGUGAUUAAAGUGACCUUUAAAAAUUAGAAUUAAACCACUACCAAGUCGUGACACACUUGUAUAUGAGAAACCCAAAAACGAAAGUUAUUCUACCCCACCCACUUGAAACCACGACAGCCAGGAAACAAACUGGGAUUAGGUACCCCACUAUGCCUAGCUGUAAAAUAUCCACCCACACUACAAACCGCCCGGGGAUUACGAGCCCAAGCUUAAAACCCAAAGGACUUGACGGUGUCCCACCCACCUAGAGGAGCCUGUUCUAUAAUCGAUUUUCCCCGAUAAACCCCACCCCUUCUAGCCACUCAGUCUGUAUACCUCCGUCGCAAGCUUACCAUGUGAACGAAACUAGUGAGCUUAAAGACCCCCCCGUCAACACGUCAGGUCAAGGUGCAGCUCACGAAGCGGAAAGAAAUGGGCUACAAUCUCUAACUUAGAACAAACGAAAGACUACAUGAAAACCAGUCAUGAAGGCGGAUUUAGUAGUAAAAAGAAAAUAGCGAGUUCUUUUUAAUUAGGCCCUGGGACGCGUACACACCGCCCGUCACCCUCUUCAAAUGC
Molecule: non-coding RNA, 833 nt
Filed under: Gastrophryne elegans (elegant narrowmouth toad)
Lineage: Eukaryota; Metazoa; Chordata; Amphibia; Anura; Microhylidae
Description: partial small subunit ribosomal RNA
Rfam family: Bacterial small subunit ribosomal RNA
Source: RNAcentral